Molecule: ribosomal RNA, 250 nt
Filed under: uncultured bacterium
Lineage: Bacteria
Description: partial 16S ribosomal RNA
Rfam family: Bacterial small subunit ribosomal RNA
Source: RNAcentral
UAACACGUAGGGAACCUGCCCAUGCGGCCGGGACAACUUCCGGAAACGGAUGCUGAUACCGGAUAAGGAAAGCGAAGGCAUCUUUGCUUUGUUAAAGGAGCUGCAAGGCUCCGCGCAUGGAUGGACCUGCGGUGCAUUAGCUGGUUGGUGAGGUAAAGGCUCACCAAGGCGACGAUGCAUAGCCGGCCUGAGAGGGCGAACGGCCACACUGGGACUGAGACACGGCCCAGUCUCCUACGGAAGGCAGCAG